GCGGUCACGCCAAACUUACGUUUGUCCUAUUGUUUCCACUUCUCUUCCUCUCUCAGCAUCUGUUCUUCUCUUCUUUAUUUCUGAUCUACUUUUCCUAGUCCCUACUUUGUCUUAUGUUUUAAAGAAAACUUGAUCAGAAAUAAAGAAAAGAAGAACAGAUUCUGAGAUAGGAAGAGAAGUGGAAACAAUAGGAGAAAUGUAAGUUCGGCGUUACAG
This is a non-coding RNA of Pelobates cultripes (western spadefoot toad), 216 nucleotides long. The record is from the annotation of a GenBank genome assembly. Lineage: Eukaryota; Metazoa; Chordata; Amphibia; Anura; Pelobatidae.